RNAcentral lists this long non-coding RNA (237 nucleotides) under Carica papaya (papaya). Its description in RNAcentral is "long non-coding RNA (CPAP_LNC002761)". The record is from RNAcentral. Lineage: Eukaryota; Viridiplantae; Streptophyta; Magnoliopsida; Brassicales; Caricaceae.
GCGGAAACGAAAUAAAAUGUUAAGUUUUACAUUUCUUACACAAUAGUUUAAAAGUAAUAAACAACAUUUCGAAAUUAAUUCUCUAAAAGAAACACGAAAAAUAAGAAAACCAAUGGAAAAUAGAAACAGCUACUCGCAAUUUUCUUGCAGAUCGGGUUCUGAAACUAGGUACUCUUGAUCUGGAAUGAGCUGCACUAACCCAGUAAGGAUAUCACACUAUAUCAUCGGCACAGAAGC